This 818-nucleotide long non-coding RNA is filed under the name Salmo salar (Atlantic salmon). RNAcentral describes it as "lncRNA (ENSSSAG00000115434.1)". Lineage: Eukaryota; Metazoa; Chordata; Actinopteri; Salmoniformes; Salmonidae. The record is from RNAcentral.
AGGCUAUAUACAGUAGAGGCUAUAUACAGUAGAGAGGCUAUAUACAGUAGAGAGGCUAUAUACAGUAGAGAGGCUAUAUACAGUAGAGAGGCUAUAUACAGUAGAGGUUAUAUACAGUAGAGAGGCUAUAUACAGUAGAGAGGCUACAUACAGUAGAGAGGCUACAUACAGUAGAGAGGCUAUAUACAGUAGAGAGGCUACAUACAGUAGAGAGGCUAUAUACAGUAGAGAGGCUAUAUACAGUAGAGAGGUUAUAUACAGUAGAGGCUAUAUACAGUAGAGAGGCUAUAUACAGUAGAGAGGUUAUAUACAGUAGAGAGGCUAUAUACAGUAGAGAAGCUAUAUACAGUAGAGGCUAUAUACAGUAGAGAGGCUAUAUACAGUAGAGAGGCUAUAUACAGUAGAGAGGCUAUAUACAGUAGAGAGGCUAUAUACAGUAGAGAGGCUAUAUACAGUAGAGAGGCUAUAUACAGUAGCGAGGCUAUAUACAGUAGAGGCUAUAUACAGUAGAGAGGCUAUAUACAGUAGAGAGGCUAUAUACAGUAGAGAGGCUAUAUACAGUAGAGAGGCUAUAUACAGUAGAGAGGCUAUAUACAGUAGAGAAGCUAUAUACAGUAGAGAGGUUAUAUACAGUACAGAGGCUAUAUACAGUAGAGAGGCUAUAUACAGUAGAGAGGCUAUAUACAGUAGAGAGGCUACAUACAGUAGAGAGUCUAUAUACAGUAGAGAGGCUACAUACAGUAGAGAGGCUAUAUACAGUAGAGAGGCUAUAUACAGUAGAGGCUAUAUACAGUAGAGAGGCUAUAUACAGUAGAGAG